Long non-coding RNA from Culex quinquefasciatus (southern house mosquito), 477 nucleotides. RefSeq lists it as uncharacterized. NCBI's taxonomy places the organism in Eukaryota, Metazoa, Arthropoda, Insecta, Diptera, Culicidae. The record is from RefSeq and is a predicted model, not a curated record. The transcript is spliced from 3 exons.
CAACAGCAUCGACGGUACAACAUCGCGUGAGGGUCCCUCGUCAAACAGCAAACACAUCUACACCACCGGGGUAGCUGAGCGAAGUCUACGUCGAUCGGGCCGUCUAGCUAGUGCCAACCAGAAGAAGAGGAAGAAUUAAGCGAAACCAGUAGGGAUUGUACGCAGUGCGAUUUGCAGAACGCCACCUUUUUGUUUAAAACGACUUAAACAUAACAAUUAGUAGUUUUAAAACAUUGCGCUGAACGAUACUCCGUGUACGACCGAAGCGAGUGGUUCUAGACCGUGGUCGCGAGAACCACACAGCUACUUCGGUUCCGAGCAGAACCUGGCAAGUGUCCAAACGGCCAAGGAGGCCAAAAAGAUCCCCAGAACACGCGUAAGCAAUUAGGCUGGGCAAAACUGGUCGUCAUCGAACAUCGUUGUCGUGUUUAAUGAGCAAUCGGAUUAGCAUAGCAUAGCAUAGCAUUGGUGUCUACC